This 3886-nucleotide long non-coding RNA is filed under the name Gallus gallus (chicken). RNAcentral's name for it is "lncRNA (ENSGALG00010022405.1)". Lineage: Eukaryota; Metazoa; Chordata; Aves; Galliformes; Phasianidae. The record is from RNAcentral.
AUUCACAACAUGGGAACGAAGUGUGAUGGGAGGAAAGAGACUUGGGAUUAUUUUCCCUUUACUAACCAUUGUCUACAUACAGAUUCGAGGACUCUGAAAUCUUUCUUUACAGCUUGGCCUAAGGGCAAAUUUACAUUUUUUACUUAGAUCAUAUUUUUUCCUUCAUGUUGAUGACCACAGAGGGUGAAGGCAGCUGCAACUUGGUGCUGAAAGGCCUCAAUGCUUUAGAAAUUGAUGGAAAUGGGGAAGAAAGCCAUGGGAGCUGCUCCCUCCUGUGGAGCAGCUGUUGACAGAAGCAGAUCAGCCCCCACUCAGAACUGCAGCCACGGCACAGAGACCAGGGGCCACUUUUAUCAUCAGCUCUGCAUGAUGGCCAAGGGACCCUACUGCCAUGGGUGGGCACAGAGCUCGAUUUCCCUCCUUGGAAGGACCAGCACAUCAAAGAGGAUGCAGCAAGAGAUGGUAGAGGAAGUGUAAGAGAAAAUGCCAGUCACUGUGCUGCAGCAGAAUGAUUUGUUCCACUGCAAGAAUUAUGCAAAGUCAUUGCAUUCAGUGAACCAUGAUGGGAAUGGAUCGGGCAGUUCAUGCCUCUCAAAGCUGGGGCUGACACUGCCAGAUUGGCAUGGGGUUAUCAAUGCCAUAAGUUUUAAGGUUGUUUUUGCCUUGCGAAAGGCUGGAAUUAAAUUGCUGGAGAAAGAAAAUUUUAGAUUCUGGAGUAGAGUUUCAUGGCACAAGGCUGAUCCUGGAAAUUGCUCAGCUAAAACUGCAGAGACAGGUAAAUAGCAGCACACAAGGGCAUGGAUGUGUGCAUCCGCUAUGCUCAUGUGCCCUCCUGUAUCCUCCUCCUUUGAAGCCCUGUGCUGCCUCUGGUUGUGUUCAUUUGCUCCUGAAAACAUCCAUACAACAGAACGGGACCACAGCAUACACUUGCUGUGACCCGGCUCAGGUCUUCACAGGCACAGGUGAGCUCAGGUAUCCUCCCCACCUGCAGCUCUUCCUUUGCUGCCGUCUCAGCCUCCAUGCUGAUGUCUCCUGCAGACGUCUCACUUCAUCUCUCACAUCACUGAACAUCCUCAGAGGACACAGUCCUGUGCUUAUGCUUAUACUGUUUAGUUUCUGUGCCUAAGGGAAUGCUGCACUUGCUGAGCAGUCUGGCAGGGAAAACAGCAGUAAGUACUUCAGCUAAUAAGGAGCCAGAAAAUGCAGAUAUGCAAGCAACCACCUUCCAUCUUUUAGCCCAGCCUAUCUUACCACAUUUCAGACUGCACAUGACACCAAGUGAGACUGGUUUCAGGGAGGCUAACCAAUGAUACUGAAUACAGGUUGUUUGUGUAAACACAUUAAUACAUCAUUACUAAUAUUAACCUGGAUUUUACUGGUGCUGCUGAGCCUUAUCUGAAUAGCUACCCUCCAAGCAGACAUGUUCUCUGCCCCACACAGCACAUGAGCAGCAGAUCCCACUUACUCAGGUUCACAUGUCAACUGGGCUGGCUGUAAGGAAGAGCAGGGAACAGUCAAUGCAAUGACACUUCUCAAAGAAGAAUGUGAACUGAUGGAGCACUGAAGCUCAGGUUCUGGCUAGGAGCAGCUAUGAAAAUGACUAUGCUAAAAGAUCAGUGUGGAAAAGUAAAGAGGAAUCCUAUUUGCAGAACUCAAAUUCAUGCCCUCACAUGUAAUGGAAGCAGCUUUUACUUCAAGCGGUGAAUGCUAGGAGGAGCAGAAAGCAGAAAACACUGGCUUUGGCUUUUGGACACCCAUAAAUAACCAAUCAACCUGCCCAGCCCAAGCAGCACCGGCACAUUUAUCUCAGAGCACAGACAUGGCAGAGUUUCCUGGCUACACUGCAUUGUACUCCACAGGACAUGGAGGGAGAGGAGCUGGCCACAGAGCAGCUACUUACGUGUAGGCCUUUGGGCCAACAGCAAGGUCCUUUUUCUUUUCCUGUACUUCUGGCCCCACUGCCCGCUCCUUGGGACUCUGCAGCCUUGCAUGCAGGGGGAUGAACAGCAGCGGGGCAGCCACCUUACCAAGGGCUGCAGUCACCUCCAGUUCUGCAUGGGGCCAUCAUGUGACCCAUGAGAUGUGGGGUGUUCUUGAGGUACUUCACACCCAGCACAAGCCAGAAACAGGGCUAACCUGUAUAUCACACCUCUACCUUCAAAAUUCUUGUGGGAGCAUUACUGUCAUUACAGAAGCAGCACACACUUUCUUUCACCAGUAUCCACCUCCCCAACUCAGCCAGCAGCAGGCAGUUUUGCCACAUUGUCCUCAAGAUGACUAGAAGCAGAUGGAGGGGGGCACAGAGUCGCCUUCAUCUUCCAUCUGGCACUGCCUACUUUUAGCUCCACACCUCCCUGGGAGGAUUUUUGGUCUCCUGCUCAGCACUGCUUGCUGUGCUGGAGCCAUUCAUGUGGACUGCUGCCCCCAGCACAUCAUGCCCUGCAUGCAGCCCAGCCCUGAAAAUUUCCAGGCCUUCUAUGGAAAUUUUUAUGUUAAAAAUAAAAGCAGGUGAUGUACUGAAGACUGCCAUGCGUGCUGUAUUUAUGCAGCACAUAAAAAGUUAUAGGAAUUUUUGGUAGCUUUAAUAAAAUAUAUUUGAAUACAUGUGAUUGUGGUGCAAUAUAAGAGAAGAAAAAGCAAAGUCUUCUCAGAGGGAGAAUCCUGCAGAAAAGAACUGUUUUGGCCACUAUAAAUGCAGGCCUACUGCCCUAUCCAACAAGCAAAGAGCUCAUCCAGCUUACACAUACAGACAUAGAUUUUACAAAUACUCCCAUAAUCUUAAGUUUACAAUAACAGGAUUGGAUGUAUAGCUGGGAUUCAGCAAACUACAUUGGUCUUGAAAGGCCACAUUUUAUUUCACUACCGUAGUGUCAGUGAAUUCAUUUGAACAAACUUUUAGUGAGGACACCUGACAACUCAUUAUUUAUUCACUGCUUUAUAUCUCAUUUACCCAUUUAUAAACUUUUUUGGAAAAACUUUGUGUUGGUUAGUGCUUGCUGAAGACGAGUUCUCAUUAAGGCUAAAUGGUGAUAAAAGCAUGCACACUUCUAUAUUUUUUUCAUGGUCCAAUGGAAACUCAGACAAUAAGAAUAGAGAAGAUAACAGAUACACAUGGGUGGAAGCCGCAUUCCUUCAGGAGCAAACCCAGAGAUACUUCCUUAUGAAGUCAUUUACAGUUCAGAACAUCAGAAGCAGGGGAAAAGAAACAGCAAAAAAAGUCCCUCAGUCAUAAAAUAUGUAAAGACCUUUUGAAACGACCUCAGAAAUGACAAAAAGCCCCCGCUGUAACUCUUCAGAUGUUUAUGAGCAAGACUACAUGAUAUGAUUGACUGUGCUAGCAGGCAACUCGAUCUGAUGACCUGCAAAGGGCUUUCCAGCCUUCUGACCUGUGUUACUGCCUUUAUUGAUUAUCUGUGGCUAGUAAUAGGUUUAAAUUUUGAUUACCACAGUGUUUGACAUACAUGGUACUUGUAUUGUAUUUCUAUAGACUAAUUAACAGGUGCAGUUCUUCAAGGAGAUAAAUGGACAGGACCAAAACCUUUUCUACUUAUAUGAGUGGAGAAGACUGUGGAUGCUACUCUGUUUUUCCCCAUGGAAAUAAUUAUUCUAGAUACAGAGGAUGCACGUAGUGCCACAAAAAAAGGCAGAACAUUCAUGAAAUCUGGAUCCAAAGUUUGAUAUGGCUUUCAGUGUCUUUGUCAGGACUCAAUUUCAUACAAAGUCCAGAUUCAGAAUCCUUUUUUACAUGGAGUUUUGUUAUUUUUACAUAGAUUUGUGAUAGUACUGUUUCUGCAUAUCAAAGUAGUUUCAGAGUGGUGUCAUCCCACUGAUUUAACAGACUGUAAGGUUAAGUUUAGCUUAGGUUCUUUUAAGCAUCACUGUGCUC